Molecule: long non-coding RNA, 3520 nt
Organism: Homo sapiens (human)
Lineage: Eukaryota; Metazoa; Chordata; Mammalia; Primates; Hominidae
Exons: 2
Source: RefSeq, a predicted model, not a curated record
GCUGGAAUGAAAAGACAACCCACAGUGCGUCAGCACACAACUUAACACAGACCAUCUACACUGGAACAGAAACUUAACACAACUUGCAUGAGAUGUUUACUGUGUACCAGGGGAAGGCACUAAGAAGAAUGGAAAAGUGAAUGGGGUCUACGUGAUCUUGAGUUUCAUUGCCUCAUUUGACAGCGGCAAGAGAUGCUGCCCACAGGUGUUAAGGUAAACUAUUAGUGGUUGGAAUCUCUCGGGUCUUCUGAUUAUUAGGAUGGCACUUCCUACACUGCCUCUGCCUUUGAGGGACUUACAAUUUUGUCAGAAAGAACUAAGGAAUAAUUAUAAUGCAAUGCAGCAGGUGGUAAAGGUACUCUAGGGUGCUAUGGAAAGGAACAGUUAACAUUUGGUUGUGAGUGGUCAGAACAUUUUAUUCGGCCUUGGUCUUGGAAGAUAAGAUUUAGACAGCAGACAAUGUGAGUGGAGAGAUUCCAGGCAGAGGGAACAUCACAAAUGAGGUAGGAAACUGUAUGGAUGCAUGAGUAACAGACAUUUUCUACGGUAGAGUACAAGUUGCGAUAUGGUACUAUAAACACACGUAUUUAUGCUUUUCAGUUUUCUGUUAAAGAUUUUUUCCUGCUAUAAGUAUAUAUGAUAUCACAGUUUUCAUCCCUGGCCUGUAAUUAUAGCGCUCCAGAAAUCCUGGGCCUAUGACUGUUGGAAGGAAUCUCUUAGGGAAUCAUGGCCACAUGUGCCUCAGCCAUAAAUAACCAUUUCCACUUCCUUGUACAAGCCAAGCUUUAUAAUCUAGAAGCACACUUUAAAUAUACAAUAAUCUAUAUCAUUAGAUGCUAACAACAGCUAAAAUUGUUAGAGUUGAACUUCCAUAACAUUAUUUAUGAAUAUAUUGUUAAUAUUAUAUCAACUAUGUCUCAUCUGGCAUAAGUACUUUGUUAAAAACCAUAUCAAAGUAAACUGAACUUUGAAAAACUAAACUCUAAUGCAGAGUACACAUGAAAUCAUGCUUGUGGAAUAGUUUCUUGCCAUUAGAUUUUGAAUAUAUUUACUCUUCCAAUCAACAGAUAUUUACUGAUUUCCUAUUAUGUAGUAGGAAUUCAAUAAAAGUGGUUUGUUCACUUUUUCAAAGUAGUUUGCUUUUGAGAGAGAAUUCUGUUACAAGCAGUGCUGACUACCUGGAAUGAACUUGUAUCUGUAAGAGUAUUUUCCUUAUUUAUCUUAAAUAAAGUGGAUUCACAUCUGUUCUUUAAAUGUACUUCUAUUCUCCUUUAAUCAACUCCAGUACUGUAGAUAAUUUUUUAAACUGAAAUCUGAUUAUCACGGGGUAUGCUCUCUGAUCUACAAAAAAUAAAAAAGCAAACACCCGCAAUUUAAGGUAAGUCUAAUAACAAGAGGAAUAGUCUAAUCUGGCUCUAUGUCUGCCAAUGCUCUAACUACAUUUGCAGAAUAAAAUGGUUCUGUGAUCUGAUGUCAGUGAGCCCGAAGUGCUCUACCUCUUUUUUGUCUGUACCUGGUUUCCUGGCCUGGGCCAUGCCAUCCACCAGCCACUCUCGCAGCAGAAAGAUCUAGCCUCCUUAAGACAGGUCUUAUCAGCUACUUUUCUUUGGCAGGCGAAAUCUUGCAAAUCCUACAAAAAGCUCACUAAAGCAGCUCUCACAUGUAAACACAAUCAUACUCGACUCUUUUGCUGGAGAUUUACAACGUGCUCAUUGUCUCCGACGAGCAGCAUAUUCUAUUUGCGUGUCUAGGAGGGAAUGGUACAAAACCAUUCAUUUUUUUUCCUCCCAUUUACAUGUAAUGAUAUGAUGGACUAGCAGAAGAAUAAUUAGCCAAAACUUGCAACCAGUGGCUCCUGAUCAACCAGAACCUUUUGAGCAUAAGUUGCUUAAAUAAUUAAAAAUUCAUGAUUAUAAUUGUAUCAAAUUUUUUAAAAUAAACAUUCUAAUAUGGAAGACUAUAAAGUAUAUCCUAACCAGUCCUUCACUUCAAAUUGUUCACAUUGUAUCCAGGAAAAAGGAAAAUGAUUUUACACAGUGAGUUUGUCAACCUCUCUUAUUUUCUAAAAUAAAGUCCUCAAGAGUCCCAUCUGUCUAGAACUAUUUACAUAAAAUCUUCCAGGACCUAAGAAGCUUGACGGAAAAAAAAUACCUCUGAAAAUGUAAUCUGAUGUUUCCUAAUUCUCUCUUCAGGUGACAGACUACUCUAGGACUGCUGCAGAUUAGCACCAUUAUUAUUAUUAUUUUUUUGAGACGGAGUCUCACUGUGUCGCCCAGGCUGGAGUGAAGUGGCACAGUCUCUGCUCACUGCAAGCUCUACCUCCCGGGUUCACGCCAUUCUCCUGCCUCAGCCUCCCAAGUAGGUGGGACUACAGGCACACACCACCACGCAUGGCUAAUUUUUCAUAUUUUUAGUAGAGACGGGGUUUCACUGUGUUAUCCAGGAUGGUCUCGAUCUCCUGACCUCAUGAUCCAGCCGCCUCGGCCUCCCAAAGUGCAGGGAUUACAGGCGUGAGCCACCGUGCCUGGCCUAACCCAAAUAUUCUUUAAAAAUAUUUUCUGCAUAGUAUACUGAAUGACAUCUAACAAGUUAACUCAUUAUUAAUAUCACUCAUGGUUGAAGACAGUAUAAAGCUACUUGCAAGUUGAUGAAAAAGAAAAAUAUAUAGAUAAAAAGUUCUAAUUAUCAGAUUAUUCUUACCUAUUAGUAUGGCUAUAAAAAUAACUGAAUUCUUGUUUUUUCUAAGUUAACUGUGUUUUAUUUAAUGUGAAAAACAUUGAAGCAAACUUUCCCCCGUUAUUCCUUGAAUAUCUGUUGUAUUAUAAAAGCUGACAUUUAUUGAGUACUCACUAUGUGCUAGGUACUAUGCUCAGGUCUCUCUGUAGCAACAUUUCUUUAAACCUUACAAAAACUCUUAUGAGGCCUUUAUUUUGCUAAGGCUCAGAGAAACUGACUAAUGUAUCAAGAUUAGGGUAGAAGACAGUGAAGCAAGAACACAAUCUCACAUAAAGACUUACCCUAACCUACCAAAAAUACAUUAUUUCCUUGCCUAUUCUGAUAAGAAACUGAAACCAUCCGAGUAUGAUGUAUUAAGCAUAUGUUAAAAAUUACCACUUAAUGUAAUUAAAACAUUCAUUUUGUAUUGAGUUAUUUUAUUGGAUCAUUAUUUAAUGUUUCUUGACAUGACAGUGUCAGGUAAGUGUGUAUCUACCUAUGAAAGAACAGAACUACCUUCUGGGAAAUUUACAGUAUUUAUAGGUUUCUUAUAACUACACUUCUGUUUAAAUUAAAUUAAUGAAGACUAAGUAAAAAUUUACCACAGGGAGGAGUAAGGUCCCUCAUUGUGUAGCUUCUCUAUGCACUAAUAACCUCCUGGCAUGACAGGAGACACCUCAUGGACUGUUCAUUUAAAUCCUUACAAAGUAUGACUUUUAGAUCAUGUAGCUGGUUUCUGUCACUUUUUCACCUUAUCUCAAUAUCUGUGUUAAAUGAACCAAAUAAAUUGCAUGUGAAUUCUUUA